GAGCUUGAGAUCUGAAGGAGUCCCUCAGAUUGAAUUCAUCUUCACUUUGUUAGCAUUUUCAUUCAGUAAAUUGCUAGCCAUAUAUGAUGGGAAAUUC
This is a small nucleolar RNA of Andrographis paniculata, 97 nucleotides long. RefSeq annotates it as small nucleolar RNA snoR99. The record is from RefSeq and is a predicted model, not a curated record. The transcript has a single exon. Lineage: Eukaryota; Viridiplantae; Streptophyta; Magnoliopsida; Lamiales; Acanthaceae.